Molecule: RNA transcript, 1026 nt
Organism: Trifolium pratense (red clover)
Lineage: Eukaryota; Viridiplantae; Streptophyta; Magnoliopsida; Fabales; Fabaceae
Exons: 6
Source: RefSeq, a predicted model, not a curated record
UCAUCCUUAUGCACCGUGCAUAAACUUUCUCGCGCGCCCCCAAUCCAUUUCUUCUCGCGCCCCCAUACAAAACCACAAUAACCUUGAAGCGAAGUUACGAAUGAUCGUUGACAAGGUCGGUCAAUUCUUCUCCGGCAACGACCUUCUUCCCUCCUGCGAUUCCGAUAUCAUCGCUUUGAUAAUGACAAGAAGGAUUUUGCGAAAUUGAAAGAUUUAGUAGGAGAAGAAGAAGAAGACAACACUGAUUAUGUUCCUAAAGUUUCUGCUGCAAGCCUCACAGAACGAGAAUAAGAACUUUUGAUUUUGAAAGCGGUGAAGAGUAACUCAACAGGAUCAUCGAAGCUUUGGAAGUUACGUGAUCCAAAAUUAAGAAGUAACAGUAACGGAAAAGGUUCAUGUUUUUUAAUCUAACUCUCGAUACUCACUCAUCAUCACCGUCGCCAACAACAACGUCGCCAGAAUCAUCCUCAAAAUGGUAAAACCAAAAGAGGGCAUGAAGCGUCCAUUCAAGCCGAUGAAAGACCUCAACAUGGACAAGGUCAUCUCUGAUAUCAUUACCGAUUUAUCAAAUUCUAGCUGAUUCUGGUUGUUUUACAACUCCGCUCUUGGCUUGAUUUGUGUAGUUGAGUUAGAUAAAUUGAUUUAAUGAUUGUUGGAGAUAAUAUACAAGGUGCUGUGUUUGGAGAGCUGCUAGAUUGCCUCUUGAAACCUACAAACAUCAAAGAGAAAAUAUCAAGCUUGAUGCUACUUGCAUCUCUUGGAAGCGAAUGCGAGGAAACUAUGUUAAAACAAUUGAUGUUGUUGGAGUUUGGCAAGAGAACAAUGUUGUUGAAACUGAAAAGACCAUUGAAGCUCUUAAAAGAGUUGCAUAGUAAAUUUAGAAAAGUUCUCAGAAUUGAUGUUAUUCUUGUUGUAUAAAUUGUUGUAGACCUUUGGAUGUAUUUAUAUAUUUUAAGUUAUUUUAUGUGUCAUCUUGGGUAGAAAUUGUAAUAUCACCACAUACAUAUUGUAAAGAAUUUAGACCUA